UGGUUCUGGCAUCGAUGAAGAACGCAGCGAAAUGCGAUAAGUAAUGUGAAUUGCAGAAUUCAGUGAAUCAUCGAAUCUUUGAACGCACAUUGCGCCCGCCAGCAUUCUGGCGGGCAUGCCUGUUCGAGCGUCAUUUCGACCCUCAAGCCCUGCGGCUUGGUGUUGGGGCCCCCUACGGCGGUGUAGUCGUAGGCCCCGAAAUCCAGUGGCGGACCCGACGGGACCCCGAGCGCAGUAGCACCUGUUUCUCGCUUAGGGCGUCGCGGCGGGCACCGGCCGUAAAAACAUCUAUAGGCGCCUUCGGGCCCUGUAGAACCCAACCAAGGUUGACCUCGGAUCAGGUAGGAAUACCCGCUGA
RNAcentral lists this unclassified non-coding RNA (358 nucleotides) under uncultured fungus. RNAcentral's name for it is "partial contains 5.8S ribosomal RNA and internal transcribed spacer 2". The stretch from base 1 to 133 matches the Rfam family "5.8S ribosomal RNA", at positions 22 to 154 of the family's 154-position model. The record is from RNAcentral. Lineage: Eukaryota; Fungi.